UACGUAGGGCGCAAGCGUUGUCCGGAAUCAUUGGGCGUAAAGAGCUCGUAGGCGGCCUGUCGCGUCCGCUGUGAAAUCCCGGGGCUUAACCCCGGGCGUGCAGUGGAUACGGGCUGGCUGGAGGCAGGCAGGGGAGAACGGAAUUCCCGGUGUAGCGGUGAAAUGCGCAGAUAUCAGGAAGAACACCCGUGGCUAAGGCGGUUCUCUAGUACGGUACUGACGCUGAGACGCGAAAGCGUGGGGAGCGAACAGG
This 253-nucleotide ribosomal RNA is filed under the name uncultured bacterium. Its description in RNAcentral is "partial 16S ribosomal RNA". It matches the Rfam family "Bacterial small subunit ribosomal RNA", at positions 524 to 776 of the family's 1533-position model. The record is from RNAcentral.